AUUGAACGCUGGCGGCAUGCCUUACACAUGCAAGUCGAACGGCAGCACGGGAGCAAUCCUGGUGGCGAGUGGCGAACGGGUGAGUAAUACAUCGGAACGUGCCCAGUAGUGGGGGAUAACCCGGCGAAAGCCGGACUAAUACCGCAUACGACCUACGGGUGAAAGCAGGGGAUCGCAAGACCUUGCGCUAUCGGAGCGGCCGAUGUCAGAUUAGCUUGUUGGCGGGGUAAAGCCCACCAAGGCGACGAUCUGUAGCUGGUCUGAGAGGACGACCAGCCACACUGGGACUGAGACACGGCCCAGACUCCUACGGGAGGCAGCAGUGGGGAAUUUUGGGACAAUGGGCGCAAGCCUGAUCCAGCCAUGCCGCGUGCGGGAAGAAGGCC
Molecule: ribosomal RNA, 386 nt
Filed under: uncultured bacterium
Lineage: Bacteria
Description: bacterial SSU rRNA
Rfam family: Bacterial small subunit ribosomal RNA
Source: RNAcentral